Molecule: long non-coding RNA, 2023 nt
Organism: Gallus gallus (chicken)
Lineage: Eukaryota; Metazoa; Chordata; Aves; Galliformes; Phasianidae
Exons: 2
Source: RefSeq, a predicted model, not a curated record
ACAGUCACCAGCAGUACACAACUGAGUGCACAAUUAGGUACCCUUACAAAAAGAAACGCCCAGGAAAAAAAAAGAACUUCUACAAAUUUCCUGUUCAAAUCUGUUUAUCCAUUUACUGAUCACUCUAUGUGGGAUGGGGGUGGGUUGAGAGACUUACCAGGUGCCUUCCUGGUGCUUCUCGAGGAUGAAGCAACAGCUGAGAAUCCACCCUGUGGAAGAUCAUACAGAAUGAAAUGCAAGGUAAACUGAAGAACUGCUGUUCCCCAAUUACCACCUUUAACAAACCAAGUCAAAAAUGAGGCUCAUUCAAUCCAGAGGAGCAAACGCUUGGAGAGGAAGAGAGAACUUCAGUGCUCCUUUCCUCUUCAUAGGCUGUGGUGAAAGUCCUGGACACUGCAGAGGAAACCUCUUGACAAAUGCAUGAGGAAGAAUCCAAAACUACUUCAUGGCAACAUCUGUGCUUCUCAAAGGCCACCGGAAUUCUUUCCUCUAGAAUUAAAAAAAAAAGAAAAGAAAAAAGAUGAUAGCAAAGCUGGAAAAUGACAUUUCUGCAUUGGUACUACAUGAGCGGAGUUUCUGUGAUCUGCAUAAACAGCUUUUACUUGGCAGAAAGGCCUGGCUCCUGGCAUAAAACACCCAAGCAAUUAAUUUGUCCUCCCUUCUUUCCUCUCUGCAGUUACCUGAACUGAUUGGAGUGCUGACACUCGGUGGUGCGUGACUCACUCCAGGUGAUCUACAAUUUAUAUCCUCGUAGUAGUUCUCUUCCUUACAGGGAAUGCUUGACAAAUCCUGAAUAUCUGUCACUGAUCUGAAGUAUUGAAAAAUGUUCUGACAGUUAGAAUAGCCAGUUCUUUCACUCGUAAAUCACUAAAUUCUGCUAUUUUCAGGUUCUUUACAUUUUACUUUAGUUCAGUCUUAUCCAGUUUUCCAGAAGACAAUUGCUUUGCCAACUUCACACAGAAUUCAAAGACUAAGGAUCGCCAUCUUCAAUGAUCUUGCAGACAGAAAAGGUUAAUUAUCAGCCUUCCCCUUCUUUACAGAAUUUCAUUUUAGUAACUCUCUUACAAAAGAAACCUCAGGAAACUGCCUCCUAAAAGGAUAACAGCUUCAACUGUGAACCACGAGGAAAAAAAACUGUCUCCAAAGUCAAAGGAAAACCUCAACAUGUAUUUCACAAAAAAAAUAAAGAUUCAUUAAGAAUAAUGUAAGAUAUUAAGAGUCUGUAAAAGAAUUAUUAGGAUGAGCUGAAACUGCUCAAGUUCUGCACAGGAAGUGAUGGACGCUCAAGUAACAGAAACUCUUGAUUCGCUGCUGGACUGGAAAUACAUAAGGCAAAUACAUUGCACAUAUACCCUGGAUUAUGUUAUGUUGUCCUCACAGGAUCUUUACAUGACCAUGAAUUCACUGUUACCAAGACGGUGAUUGCUAUGCAAAUUUCCAUUAUCUGUAAAAAAUAUAACUUUAAUAGUUGAGUCACAAACUCAGUUUGUAAAUGUUUCCUAAGAAGACAAAUCACAAUACUAUUCUGUAAUGCAAUUUAUGUAACUACAGACUAACAAUCCACUCUUCAAAGUGAUUUUAUUUCUUCUGAGUAACAUGCAUGGAAGAACCAAGGAAUCACAAUGCUAACAUAAAGAGGCACACACAAAUUACACUGGGUUAAUUACUUGUUACACUAAUUUAAUUACUUAUAAAUACGAAAAUAUCCUGAACUAAGCCAAGGACAACUACGUGAUGGCCCUUUUAUAGCCAUCUCCCAGCUUCUUUCAACAUUCCAGUGUUCCAACUCUCAGCUUUAGUUUGUCAUAUCUUCCUGUUUCAGAUCAACACUGGCUGUUACCACUGUAAGAGUUCAACUUGCAGCAGUUUCAGCAUAGAAGUCUGUGGCUCUUACAUGUCUUUUUCUUCAGAGUCUUCCUGCAGCUCCCUUGAUAUCACUUCUUGUGCUGCUUCAGUACUGGAAUAAAGGAAGAGAAGACAGGGAAGGUCACUGUCAUUGGUCUUCUCAGAAAAAUUAUGAAAA